AGAGAGGGGAGGUGUGGAACAGACACGGGAUGAACAAGGACUGACAGGGAGGAGACGGCAGCACGGACGAGGAGGGAGGAGGAAGCCGAGGCCAACCAAUCAGAGCAGGGCAUGACGUCAUCAGUGCAUCUGCCUCUGGCAAUUUAUUCGCCCGACUCUGGACGUUUGAAGACGUGACGUCUGAAACCAGAGCAGAAAAACACUGUUUUAGCCACUUGGACGGAAACACAGCAGCAGGACGAUAGAUUUCCACGACACUUUGGAGAAAGGAUGAUUAAUGGACCAG
Scophthalmus maximus (turbot) is the source of this 286-nucleotide long non-coding RNA. RefSeq lists it as uncharacterized. The record is from RefSeq and is a predicted model, not a curated record. The transcript has 3 exons. Lineage: Eukaryota; Metazoa; Chordata; Actinopteri; Pleuronectiformes; Scophthalmidae.